This 2924-nucleotide ribosomal RNA is filed under the name Salmonella enterica subsp. enterica serovar Bareilly str. CFSAN000191. Its description in RNAcentral is "bacterial LSU rRNA". It matches the Rfam family "Bacterial large subunit ribosomal RNA". The record is from RNAcentral. RNAcentral also lists the same sequence under 2 other names. Lineage: Bacteria; Pseudomonadati; Pseudomonadota; Gammaproteobacteria; Enterobacterales; Enterobacteriaceae.
GGGUUGUGAGGUUAAGCGACUAAGCGUACACGGUGGAUGCCCUGGCAGUCAGAGGCGAUGAAGGGCGUGCUAAUCUGCGAUAAGCGCCGGUAAGGUGAUAUGAACCGUUAUAACCGGCGAUACCCGAAUGGGGAAACCCAGUGUGAUUCGUCACACUAUCAUUAACUGAAUCCAUAGGUUAAUGAGGCGAACCGGGGGAACUGAAACAUCUAAGUACCCCGAGGAAAAGAAAUCAACCGAGAUUCCCCCAGUAGCGGCGAGCGAACGGGGAGGAGCCCAGAGCCUGAAUCAGCAUGUGUGUUAGUGGAAGCGUCUGGAAAGGCGCGCGAUACAGGGUGACAGCCCCGUACACAAAAGCGCAUGUGCUGUGAGCUCGAUGAGUAGGGCGGGACACGUGGUAUCCUGUCUGAAUAUGGGGGGACCAUCCUCCAAGGCUAAAUACUCCUGACUGACCGAUAGUGAACCAGUACCGUGAGGGAAAGGCGAAAAGAACCCCGGCGAGGGGAGUGAAAAAGAACCUGAAACCGUGUACGUACAAGCAGUGGGAGCACCCUUUGGGGUGUGACUGCGUACCUUUUGUAUAAUGGGUCAGCGACUUAUAUUCUGUAGCAAGGUUAACCGUAUAGGGGAGCCGGAGGGAAACCGAGUCUUAAUUGGGCGUUAAGUUGCAGGGUAUAGACCCGAAACCCGGUGAUCUAGCCAUGGGCAGGUUGAAGGUUGGGUAACACUAACUGGAGGACCGAACCGACUAAUGUUGAAAAAUUAGCGGAUGACCUGUGGCUGGGGGUGAAAGGCCAAUCAAACCGGGAGAUAGCUGGUUCUCCCCGAAAGCUAUUUAGGUAGCGCCUCGUGAAUUCAUCUCCGGGGGUAGAGCACUGUUUCGGCUAGGGGGCCAUCCCGGCUUACCAACCCGAUGCAAACUGCGAAUACCGGAGAAUGUUAUCACGGGAGACACACGGCGGGUGCUAACGUCCGUCGUGAAGAGGGAAACAACCCAGACCGCCAGCUAAGGUCCCAAAGUCAUGGUUAAGUGGGAAACGAUGUGGGAAGGCCCAGACAGCCAGGAUGUUGGCUUAGAAGCAGCCAUCAUUUAAAGAAAGCGUAAUAGCUCACUGGUCGAGUCGGCCUGCGCGGAAGAUGUAACGGGGCUAAACCAUGCACCGAAGCUGCGGCAGCGACACUGUGUGUUGUUGGGUAGGGGAGCGUUCUGUAAGCCUGUGAAGGUGUGUCGUGAGGCAUGCUGGAGGUAUCAGAAGUGCGAAUGCUGACAUAAGUAACGAUAAAGCGGGUGAAAAGCCCGCUCGCCGGAAGACCAAGGGUUCCUGUCCAACGUUAAUCGGGGCAGGGUGAGUCGACCCCUAAGGCGAGGCCGAAAGGCGUAGUCGAUGGGAAACGGGUUAAUAUUCCCGUACUUGGUGUUACUGCGAAGGGGGGACGGAGAAGGCUAUGUUGGCCGGGCGACGGUUGUCCCGGUUUAAGCGUGUAGGCUGGUUUUCCAGGCAAAUCCGGAAAAUCAAGGCUGAGGCGUGACGACGAGGCACUACGGUGCUGAAGCAACAAAUGCCCUGCUUCCAGGAAAAGCCUCUAAGCAUCAGGUAACACGAAAUCGUACCCCAAACCGACACAGGUGGUCAGGUAGAGAAUACCAAGGCGCUUGAGAGAACUCGGGUGAAGGAACUAGGCAAAAUGGUGCCGUAACUUCGGGAGAAGGCACGCUGACAUGUAGGUGAAGUGAUUUACUCAUGGAGCUGAAGUCAGUCGAAGAUACCAGCUGGCUGCAACUGUUUAUUAAAAACACAGCACUGUGCAAACACGAAAGUGGACGUAUACGGUGUGACGCCUGCCCGGUGCCGGAAGGUUAAUUGAUGGGGUCAGCGCAAGCGAAGCUCCUGAUCGAAGCCCCGGUAAACGGCGGCCGUAACUAUAACGGUCCUAAGGUAGCGAAAUUCCUUGUCGGGUAAGUUCCGACCUGCACGAAUGGCGUAAUGAUGGCCAGGCUGUCUCCACCCGAGACUCAGUGAAAUUGAACUCGCUGUGAAGAUGCAGUGUACCCGCGGCAAGACGGAAAGACCCCGUGAACCUUUACUAUAGCUUGACACUGAACAUUGAGCCUUGAUGUGUAGGAUAGGUGGGAGGCUUUGAAGCGUGGACGCCAGUCUGCGUGGAGCCGACCUUGAAAUACCACCCUUUAAUGUUUGAUGUUCUAACGUGGACCCGUAAUCCGGGUUGCGGACAGUGUCUGGUGGGUAGUUUGACUGGGGCGGUCUCCUCCUAAAGAGUAACGGAGGAGCACGAAGGUUGGCUAAUCCUGGUCGGACAUCAGGAGGUUAGUGCAAUGGCAUAAGCCAGCUUGACUGCGAGCGUGACGGCGCGAGCAGGUGCGAAAGCAGGUCAUAGUGAUCCGGUGGUUCUGAAUGGAAGGGCCAUCGCUCAACGGAUAAAAGGUACUCCGGGGAUAACAGGCUGAUACCGCCCAAGAGUUCAUAUCGACGGCGGUGUUUGGCACCUCGAUGUCGGCUCAUCACAUCCUGGGGCUGAAGUAGGUCCCAAGGGUAUGGCUGUUCGCCAUUUAAAGUGGUACGCGAGCUGGGUUUAGAACGUCGUGAGACAGUUCGGUCCCUAUCUGCCGUGGGCGCUGGAGAACUGAGGGGGGCUGCUCCUAGUACGAGAGGACCGGAGUGGACGCAUCACUGGUGUUCGGGUUGUCAUGCCAAUGGCACUGCCCGGUAGCUAAAUGCGGAAGAGAUAAGUGCUGAAAGCAUCUAAGCACGAAACUUGCCCCGAGAUGAGUUCUCCCUGAGACUUAAAGUCUCCUGAAGGAACGUUGAAGACGACGACGUUGAUAGGCCGGGUGUGUAAGCGCAGCGAUGCGUUGAGCUAACCGGUACUAAUGAACCGUGAGGCUUAACCUUACAACGCCGAAG